UACGGAGGAUGCGAGCGGUAUCCGGAUUUAUUGGGUUUAAAGGGUGCGUAGGCGGGUUAUCAAGUCAGCGGUAAAAUCGUGGAGCUCAACUCCAUCCAGCCGUUGAAACUGAUGAUCUUGAGUGGGCGAGAAGUAUGCGGAAUGCGUGGUGUAGCGGUGAAAUGCAUAGAUAUCACGCAGAACUCCGAUUGCGAAGGCAGCAUACCGGCGCCCGACUGACGCUGAAGCACGAAAGCGUGGGUAUCGAACAGG
RNAcentral lists this ribosomal RNA (252 nucleotides) under uncultured bacterium. Its description in RNAcentral is "partial 16S ribosomal RNA". It matches the Rfam family "Bacterial small subunit ribosomal RNA", at positions 524 to 776 of the family's 1533-position model. The record is from RNAcentral.